This 1148-nucleotide unclassified non-coding RNA is filed under the name Hevea brasiliensis (rubber tree). Lineage: Eukaryota; Viridiplantae; Streptophyta; Magnoliopsida; Malpighiales; Euphorbiaceae. The record is from RNAcentral.
UCUUCCUUGAGAAGCCCAUUUAACGAAACAGCCCACGUCCUUUGCUCGUGUCGCCACUCUCUCUCGCUUCUCUCUGCGUCUGUUGUGUCACUGGAAUAUGGAUCGAUCUCAAUUUCUGCUCUUAGGUUUACCAAUCUUUCUAUUUUUCACCGACGUUGUUAAUCUAUUUACGGUACCACCACCGCCAAAAUCCGCUCAAAAUGAUCUUAGCAGCUUCCGAUCCAAGCCCAAUUCAGUUCUCCACCAACAGCCCCUUCAAUUUCCAAUUCAGAAAUCAUCGUCAUCCGCUAUCGGAGGAGUAGGCGGCGGCGUUGGUAAUAUUGGCUUUGGCAGCACCAUUAAUAUCGACUUCUGUGCUUCUUGUUCUUAUAGAGGAACUGCUGUAACUAUGCAAAACAUGCUGGAAACACAAUUUCCUGGUAUUAAUGUAAUUUUGGCGAACUAUCCUCCCUCAUUUCCAAAGCGCUUACUGAGCAAAGUUGUUCCAGUUUUUCAAUUUGGAAUCAUUGGAGUAAUAAUGGCUGGUGAACAAAUUUUUCCAAGGUUAGGAUUUGCAGUUCCACCUCCUUGGUACUAUUCUUUACGUGCAAACAGAUUUGGAAGUAUUGCUAGCACUUGGCUUUUUGGAAACUUCAUUCAAUCCUUCCUCCAGAGUUCUGGUGCUUUUGAAGUAUAUUGCAAUGGUGAAUUGGUUUUCUCCAAACUGACAGAAAACAGGUUCCCUGGUGAAAUCGAGUUGAGGGAUCUUGUUGGCAAAAAACUUGCUCAUACAAGAAUUGUUCAUGGCGAUGUUGGUGUCUUGUCUUAGUGCUCUGACAAGUCGACGUGAGUUAUCUCUGACAAGUCGAUGUGAGUUAUACUUCUCAUAUGCAUGAUGCAGGAAGCAGAUACACUAAUGAUGGAGAAGAUAUGGCCUCUUUUUCUGUUCCUUACUUCUGCAGUUCUGCUUCCAUUCAUUCUCAGGGCAGGCAUUAAUUGUGAUAGGGACUUAACAGUUAUCCGGAAGACUCUUUUUUUUUGUUUUUUUUUAAUGAAAUUGGAAAUAAUUUUCAAUUUUAUUUAUAAUUUUGGGAUAUUAUUUGUGAUACAUUGUCUGGAUUACCAGAUUCAUUAAUAGUGCAAUCAAUAAAUGAAAUCUUCCAUUUCGU